Molecule: long non-coding RNA, 6226 nt
Organism: Benincasa hispida (wax gourd)
Lineage: Eukaryota; Viridiplantae; Streptophyta; Magnoliopsida; Cucurbitales; Cucurbitaceae
Source: RefSeq, a predicted model, not a curated record
UUGCCUUCAAUUUUUAAAAUUUCAUUCUUCAGCUGCAAAUUUCUUGUUUUGUCUUUUGAUGUUUGGUUCCACCAUCCCUUGGCUUUAACUCUGAUCGAUAUUAUGAAUAGGAAAACACUAAAAAUUAGGCAUCGAACUUGUUCCUGGAAUCUAAUAGGCGGAUUAGAUUUCACAUGUUUAGUUUUAUUUGGUUGCUAAAUUAGGUUGUUUGAACGAUUUUGUUCCAAUUUUGCAAUAUGGGAUGUGAAAUUGAAUUGGUACUAGGGAAGAUUAAUCGAUAGGUCUAUUUGGUAAAUCAAAAUCUUUCAAUUUACAUUCUAGAAAAAGAACCCUUAGAAAGUAGCAUCAAUGAGAGAGUAUUUAUGGAGAUGUUUGCUGACUAUCAUGAGUGAAAUCUCUAUUAUUUGGUAAUUACUUAUUGUGAUUUCUGAAGUUUGUCAAUGAAUCAGUUUAAAGUAAAUAUGUUUUCUCGGUUGGUUUCUGAAUCAUUUGCCAACCUGGAUAUUGCUGACAUUUGAAGUGCUUAUUUGCCACAUUUAAGCUUGGAUGCAUUUUUCUAUUACUAAGCCACACUCCAAGUCCAAACCUCCUUUAUCUAAUUUUAGGCCAUGCUAAUACCAAAAGUUUAAAUAAUCUAUCCCAAAUUUUUGUAAUCUAUUAUCCAAGUCUCCAUGUAUUGACCAGAUGAUAGCUGCAAUAUGAUCGGAGGUUAUUCUGCCCAGAACAAAAGGAUCAGUCCCUGCAUCACCCCUAAUUUUAGGCCACACGAAUACCAAAAGUUUAAAUAAUCUAUUCUAAUUUUUUGUAAUCUAUUAUUCAAGUCUCCAUGAAUUGACCAGACAAGAGAUCCUAAGGGAUUUUAGGCUUCUAGUGAAAGAGAGCAUGAAGGUUGGGUUGAGCAACUAAAAUGAGAAAAUAGUGUGUUGAUACCAAAAAAACGCACCAACGGUGAAUUUAUAUUUCUCGAGGGGGAGUAGCUCGAUGUCCUGCAAAAUGAGCAAAGUUAAACAUCAGUGUGGUGUUGAGCAAAAUUCACUCCGAUGCUUAGUUAGAAUCAAGUUUGAAUAUAUCUCAAUUGGUAGAAAAUUAGUAUAAGUUUGAGAGCAUACCCUCCUUUGAUCAUGACUAAAAAAGUAUAUAGGUUGACUAUUUGACAACUGAAGUGGGCUCGACCUUUCAGUUUCCAUGCACUAUCGGUCUUUAAUUUACCCGUUACCCAUCCGAGUCGUCAUUAUCUGAGUCGUUAUACUUAGUUUUCAAUCUGCUCGACUCUUGGGUAGAACUCUGACGCUUGGUACAUCUCUUUAAUACAGUAAUGAUUUAAUUAAUUAUUCAACUACAUGAAACAAAAAUAGACUUCUUAUUAGUUUUAAAAAUAAUUAUCUUCCUACAAAAAUCCUAUCGUAAAAUAAGUAUAAAUCAUCUAAAAAUAAUUACACCAAUCCAUGCAAAAUCCUUGUGCUUACAUUGGCCAUGCAAUUGCAUGGAUUCAAAUGUUGGUGGGAGCACAUACUUUUAUGUGCCGACUCAUGUUGGGUCAGCCUCUCAUAUUGAGUAAGGUCGACAAAUUGUUGACUUUUAUUUUAUUUUUGUACGGACCUCCUUUGAGGUCAAUUGAGCUAGGCAACCGGGCUGUCUGAGGGUUGGCCCUUCGAAAUGGAGGGUUGACAAAUUAUCGACCCUUCUUCUCAUUAUUAUUUAUUAUUUUUUCUUUUUAUUUAAUUUAUUUUCUAUCUCACACACAUAUAUUUACUAUUUUGCAUAGCUAAAAUGCAUACAUCACAACAUUGCUCCCAAAUGGCUAAAAACCAUUUAAAAGUUUAAUUGGCUAGGCCUCCUAGCUUGAGCUAUUCUCUGAGCUCAACCUGCCUUUCUUAGCUCGACUUGCUUUCAUAACUCAAUCCUCCAGCUUGACCUGCUCUCUUAGCUUAGUCUAUUGGCUCGACUUGCUUUUUUAGCUCAGAUGGGUCGAGCUAACUAAGGUAAUUUCUCAACUUGAUUACCUUUGCUCGAAUUUUGACUUUAACUUAAUUAACUAGGUUUAAUUUUAAACUCGACCGUUGCCCAUCUCUCAAAUUGGGUUGUGUAUAGCCUUUAAACGAAGGCCACCAAAAUCCACCACAUUCUAUUUUUCAUCUUUCUUCUACGAUUCCUCAAGCUAAUUUCCUACUUAGCUUAUGGAGAACAUCCAAGCCUUAGACUCUAGGAUCCAUGUGUCAAUUGAUUUUAAAGAUAUCGAUUUCGUUCCCAAUCAAAGGCCUUGAAAUUGUAUUCGAAGGGAGCGUAGAUUUCGAAAUGACGAUUUGGCUUCCCACUUUCCCUCAGUCUCUUUAACCAUAGAUAUUCUGAAUUCCCUUCGAAAUAAAUUCAGGAUUCCUAACUCGGUGCACAUGAGAAUCCAUUCCUUAGGCAAAGCAUCUAACUCGCCUUUAGGUGAAGUAGCUUUUUAUCCUGCCAUGCUCACUUAUGGAGUUAGAUUUUCACUCCAUCCUUUUAUUUAAGUAAAUGUGAUACCUUUUCAACUAUUCCAAUCUCUUAUUAUGUGUUACUAGAUUGGCACACUCUUUGACUUCAACUAGGGAACCCAAAUCCCAUUACAUCGUACUCUGAAGAAAAUAAAAUCUUCAUCUAACUCUUAUUAUGUUACUAUUCACAAAGGAAACUCCAUUAUUUCAUGUCCGAUUAGUGGCGACUGACUCACAUCAAACUGCGAAGGUCCUUUUCUGGUCCUGAUCGAGUUUCGGGCUUUUAUUAAGUUUCUCACAUGUUCGCUCGAUCGGGACCAACUUUUAUAACUUAUUAUGACAAAUUUUUUUUGCUUUGUACAAUUGAUUGCAAGACUGCCUCGACCAACGCAACUGCUACCUUCCGAGAUUCAAUUCUUUUGACUGCUCCGCUAUGGUUCGAGUUUGGUUCAACAAGAAGCCCUCGACACCUUUGUGCUCGACCUCCUAGUACAUACUGAAAUGGUUCCUUGCAAAACUAUGCGCCAAAGAAUGGAGGCCGGAUUGGGGAUUCGUGUGCGCAUUCCCAAAUUUGCUGUAACUUCUAUAGGUUCACGUGAUGGGGUCUGAUUCCAUUCAGAGUCCAUCCAACGAACCACUUUCCCAACGGCCAUGCAUUCGUACUUCUCCUUAUCACAAUAUCUCUAAUCAAACAGUGAUAAUCCCAACCCUUUCAACUGCUGAAGGAUCCAGCUCGUCCUCUCCAUAUCAUUUCGGCUUCAAUGGACCAUAUAAGUUCAAAAGUGAUAAAGCUGCAUACCUGACUCAGGCUAUGGAAUGGUCUGGUGUAAAUGAAAAAAUGCUAGUUCGAUGGCAUGCUGACUCAAGGCAUCCUACUAGUUGCUGAUGUCUUGCCAGAAGUUAAGUGACGAGAUGGAAUUUCAUAAACAAAACCAUGCGAGAUUGCGUGAGAUGGAAAUUCUCAGGCAAAAUUCUGUCUCUCGAGGGAAAUUUGACCGAGUUUCAACUUUGUAUGCUGAGACAUCCAUCAAGCUUGUCCACUCUAAAAAAUCUUUAGCGACACUUCAAUUUUAGUAUGAUGAUUCGGUCAAUGAGCUAAAAGAGAAGUUAUCCACAACUUAUACUGAACUGCAAGAAGUUCGAGCCAAUCUAUCAGAUGCAAAAUACUUGGCUGAGAGCUUCCAAGCAUACUGUCAGAUGGAGGUUGACUGCCUUUAGAAUGGGGUCACACUAGCUAUGGGCAUUGUAUAUCGACUACAACUUCGUUCAAUUUGAAGUCGAUGCUUGGCGAGACAAUGAAACCCGAGGACUUAAUAGCGUGGGUGUUUUUGCUAGCUAAGCCUUCAGUAUGGGGUCACGCUAGCUAUGAGUGGUACAUCGACUACAACUUCGUUCAAUACGAAGUCGAUGCUUGGCGAGACGAUGAAACUUGAGGUCUCGAUAGCGUGGGUGUUUUUGCUAGCCAAGCCUUGCCAACUGCUCCUCAGCAUCAACUUCACUGAUACAUUCCUCUAGUGUGUCUCAGACUUUCCUGGUUAAAAAACUUUGAUAGAGCUUGGUGACAUCAGGAAUAUAGACGAAUAAUUUUUUUGCUUUCAUUGGGCUUGCUUCUUAUUUUAUUUUAUUUUAUUUUUUUAUUAGAGCAUGUAAACUUGCUCGCGGCUCAAACUGCCAGCUUAAGCUUGGAACUUAGCUGAAUUUCAGUGUUUGUUAUGGAGCUUUGUAUCCAUCUUUUAUUCACAGCUUGAGCUCGUAGCUUGACCUUUUGAAACUUGCCCCUUUAGCUUUUACUUAUUCAAACUCGUAGCUUGCCUUUGCUUGUAGGUCGAGUUUGCAACUUGACCUAUUAGAGCUUGUAGUUUUAGCCUUUGUUUUGAGUGUUCUUUGCCCCCUUCCCUCCAUUCAUGCCUGAGUAAUUUUAUUCAUGAGAGAAAGAAUCUUGUUGCUUGAGUAUAAAUUAGAAGACUAAAAAUGCUCAUUGUAAACUUAAAAAAAGACAACUCUCAUUACUUGAAUGGAAAGAAAGUAUGAACCAAGAUGAUGCCAAUAUAGCUCGUUGUGGUAGGCGGACAUGAAACAAUGGAGUUUACUUUACUAAUAGUAACAUAAUAAGAGUCGGAUAAAGAUUUUAUUUUUUUGAGAGUAUGAAGGGACAUAGAUUCCUUUAUGAUAAUGGAUUUGGGUUCUCUAGUUGAAGUCAAAGAACGUAACAACCUAGUAACACAUAGUAAGAGUUUGGAAAUUGUUGAAGAGGUGUCACGUUUACGUAAGGUAGAAAUUGUUGAAUAAAAGGAUGGACUGGAGGCCUAACUCUAUAGGUGAACAUGGUAGGAUAAAAAGCUACUCACCUAAAGGCGAGUAAGAUGGAUCCUCGCCUAAGGAAGGGAUUCUCAUGUGCACCGAGUCAGAAAUCCUAAAUUUAUUUCUAAAGAAAUUUAGAAUAUCUAUGGUUAAGGGACCCGAGGAUGGAAAAUGGGGAGCCAAAUCAUUAUUUCGGAAUCCACGCUCCCUCCGAAUACAAUUUCGAGGCCUUUGAUUGGGAACGAAAUUGAUAUCAUUGGAGUUAGUUGACACAUCGAUCCUAAAGUCUAAGGCUUGGAUGUUCUCCAUGAACUAGAAUAAGCUAAGUAGGAAAUUACCUUUAGGAAUAGUGGAAGAAAGAUGAAAAAUAGAGUGGUGGAUUUUGGUGGCCAAGUGAAUCCUUUUUAUAAGAAAAUUUGGCACGAAAAACAAAGAAAAGUUUUACCAAGACCAAGCUGAAGUAACGGAUGCCUUUGAAGUUUGAGAAAGAAUUCUCGAGCCUCGUUUAAAGGCUAUGCACAAUCCGGUUCGAGAGAGGGACAACUGUGGAGGGUAAAAUUAAACAUAAUUAAUUGAGUUAAAGUCAAGAUUUGGGCAAAGGUAAUCGAGUUGAGAAGUGACCUUAAUUGACUCGACCCAUUUGAGCUAAGAAAGCAAGUCGAGCUAAGAGAGCAGAUUGAGCUAAGAAAGAGAAAUCGAGCUUAGAGAAUAGCUCAAGCUAGGAGGUUGAGCCAAUUAGCUUUUAAAUGACUUUUAACCAUUUGGGAGCAACGUUGUUGUGUAUGCAUUUUGGCCAUGCAAAAUAGUAAAUAUAUAUAUGUAUAUACAUGUGUGAGAGAAAAUAAAUUAAAUAAAAAGAAAAAAAAAUAAUAAUGAGGGUUGCCGACCCUCCAUUCUGAAGGGCCAACCUAUGAGGGUUGGCAAGGCAGCCCGGUUGCCUAACUCAAUUGACCUCAAAGGAGGUUAGUACGACAAAAGAAAAAAAAGAAAGAAAGAAGCAAGGAGGAGCUCGACCAUUUGUCGACCCCACUUGCUAUGAGAGGCUGACCCAACAUGGGUCAGCACAUAAAAGUUGCCAGCCCUGAAUCCAUGCAAUUGCAUGGCCUAGGUAAGCCAUGCACAAGGAUGUGCAUAGAUUAAUAUAAUUAUACUAAUUUUUUACCAAUUGAGCUAUAUUCAAACCUGAUUCUAAUGCAUUGGAGUGAAUUUGGCUCAACACCACACCGGUAUUUAGCUUUUCUCAUUUUGCGGUAUACCGAGCUACUCUCCUGUUCGUUGAUUUCGUGAUUCGAGCUUAGGAGUGUAUUGUAUAAAAUAAUUGGAAAAAUAAGUGUAAAUGUGAAUGAUGCGUUGAUGCGUUUAUGAUACGUUUGUGAUGCGUUAGUGACGCGUUGAUGCGUUAAUGAUGUGCAACAGGACGCAUGACACUCCUCUAUAACGUCAAGUUUUUCUGACUCAAU